Molecule: non-coding RNA, 2843 nt
Organism: Varroa destructor (honeybee mite)
Lineage: Eukaryota; Metazoa; Arthropoda; Arachnida; Mesostigmata; Varroidae
Source: RefSeq, a predicted model, not a curated record
UUGAAUCUCCUGUUGAAUUGAACAUGCAGGAAUCUUGAAACCUAGAUGUAUGCGUUUAAGUUCAGGAUAUUGGUAAACUUAUCCACGAAUCGUUUUCUAGCGAAGCGGCACAGUUGGGCACUCUUAUAGGUACAGUGAAACGGUGGAAUGCAUUUGCUUUUAUAGAACAACGAAAAGUGCAUUACUUUUCCAAGGCCGGGAAACUCCAAUGCUCUACCAAUCCAGAACAUAUGGUAGCUCAUAUAUGGGACUAAUACGUCUGCUCAUCCUGCUGGGUCUUAUUGGAGUCAGUGUUAUCACAAAAGAAGGUCCAAGGUUUAAACCAUUUUUGGCUGAUCAAGUAUCUCUGUUCCUCGAUAGCAACCUACGCGACUUCAAUGUACUUAUUGAUAUGCCAAGUCUAGAACCGUUUGCAUCAGUCGAUUAUAUCCUCGUAUAUUGCGAAGAAAAAACCAACCCCAUUUUCACCGGACCACGGUUUUGUGUAUCUGAGAUCCUGACCAGAAAAGAACCGCAUCAGUACAUCAAGCUGAACCCGUCAGAGAUUAUAUACAACAUUGCUUUGUUUGCCCGAUACCGAGUAGGUGACAAGGCAGUCACGACGAAACCAAUUAAUACUGGUAGCGUCAACCUUACUCCAUGCGACGACAGUUGUUGGGAUCUCGAUUACGACUUGGAGUUCACGCGGUCAAUACAGCAAGCAAGCUGGGAACAGAAGUUUAAUGAAAUUAUGUUCCUGUUCUUCUUACCUGAUAUACGUGACUUCUGCCCUCACUUCCCCUUGGACCCUUACGCUUUAGACUUAAACUAUAUAGAUACAGGUACUUACAGGAACUACAUCACAUUUCGGGGCUUACGAACACAGUAUUUUGAACUAGUGACCAACGACCGCGUAGAGAGCAAGAUUUUCGGAAGUAUAAGAUGCAGCGCACAGACAGAGGAAUACAAAUACUAUGCUGUUCCAAACGUUUCGUUGGGAUCGGAUCAAAAACUGGCGACGCUGGAAAUGAUUGAUCGUCCUUGGAAUUAUCCAGUUGUUCGCCUCGGUUCGAUUCGAUAGUGAAUUAAUUAAUAGGAAUUCGUCCCUUCUGAUAGAUGCUCAUUAUCAGUUUGUAUUGAAUGUGUUGUAUUGUAUGUGUUUAAAUGUUUGUGCGUCUAUUUUGGGCCUUCCGUUUACGUGCUGUAGCUAUAAGACCCAAACUACUUUCUUCGUGCAAUAGUUAAUUGCCCUUGUUCCAAACACAAAGCAACCUAAGGACCAAAUCGAAUGCAGUCGUUUUGCGUAAAUAGGAUGUCCUAAUAAAUUUGGCUUAAAUUUGAACCAUCUGCGGCUCCGUAAGUAACGAAACCUUUGAAGAGCCUUGAAUCGAUUUAUUGCCGCGACCUAAGAAUACGCUCACGUUUCCACCGCUUCUGGAAAACCCUGUGCUAAUGUAGUUGUGACUUACGCACAAGUAUCUCACUGUGAAGACACUUCCUUCCUCUAAGAAGGACAUUUGCGCAUAUGGCUGGACUCGUUCAGACUAUUUAUGCAAAACCGGCUCGUGAUACUACACCUCUUAACUCUGCUGUUACCCAGACAUAGCCUGGGGAACAAGAGCAUUCCCGGUGAUGACUUAUAUUGCAUUUGUACGUGCCCUUUCUGAUAACGAGUAUCCAUAUGCCCACUAACCGUUACCAUUAUCGAGGGAGGUCAAAGGAUCUUGCAACGCACGCAUAGGAUGUCUUCUUUGAUGCAGCAAUAUAAAGGCAUAGGCCACUACUGAAGAACUGAAAAUAGUCGCUGAUCAAAUCGAUCGAUAACAAUAUUAAACGUCCUAUAUAUUUCGAUUCCUAUAUAUUGUAAGCCGUUGGGAUUUUAGAAAAAAAUUUUUUCCACAUUAGUUAUUCAUUUGCGAUAUGUACAUAUACCUUAAACGGUUCUAAGAAAAAGAGUUGAAGGCCACUGUGGAAACAUUUCUUACCGUAUCAUGUCACCAUAAACAGGCAAAGAUGGUUCAAUGUUCACCAGGCAGCGAACAAUUCAGCUAUUGUAUCUCGACUGUUUAACGUACAAAACUCAUUAUUAAGGGCAACAGCUCAAACGGUCUGUUUGUUACAUCAGCAAGUUCGAGGCCGCCGAAUACGACAGUCUCAUACCUGCUUGGCAAAUAGCAGACUUACAGACCCAUAUUCCAUAACGACUGCCUAUCGUCAAGCGUACCCUUACAUGGUUUGAAACGGCGUGACAAUGCCUCCGACUCUAUCGCAUGAUAUUCUUGUCUUACACACUGUCGGACAUACGUUAUAUAUAUAAACACAAGCGGCAUGGGCACUACGCGCAGCUCGGCCGGCGCCUGUACAAUGGCAGGAAAUUUUGUAGCUUCAAUGAUUUCUACGAACCAGCUCGAUCGCGUCGACGUGAACAUUACGAAGAUGAAGCUGCACGGACGGCGCAACUGCUACCUUCUAACAUCAGCGAAAAUAUGGGAGUUACUGUGAAAGAGCUGUGGCCCUCGGGUGACGGACCCAGAGUGGUGAAACCAGGCCGUUUUGGUCACUGGCCUUGACCUGCAGGACUCUGUCAAUCGCUGAAAGUUGUCGGCGUGUUCGGUAGAUUCGCUCGGUCCAGCAGCACUGUCUAGUUUGGACACGGAACUUACUGGUAAUGGCCAUACUGGUCUCGUGCAACCCAAGCGUUUUCUGUCUAAUCCAGUAUAUUUAGAGAAUAUACAAUCAUUGGAACAAUUACGCAGCCUGUGAAUAAGGUUUAGCAAAGAUACAGCUUUGGGCAGCGUGAAUAAAUUAACGCAUAUAUCCUUCUUCAGUGUGUCAAUACAGGUCCAUGAACAAUCAUAUUUGAU